ACCAGAGCCACCAAAGUCUAAUCUCGAGCAACAGCUUAAGUCAAAGUCACAGGAGUGCGAGGAGCUUAAACACAAGAUAAAUCAUUUGCAAGAAGCUAUGGAGAACUCCUCUAAGGUUGUACUAGAAUAAAUUGGAAAGUGUGUUGAGGACCCUAGAUGCCAUCGAGGGUCACUUGUUUUCAACUAACAAUGCUAUUGCAGAGAAAGUAGAGUCAUAACUUAUCCAGUGUGUGUCUACGAGAUUGGACGCCCUUGAGGGCUCAUUAAAUUUCAGCCGAAGUUCUGGAUUAGUCGUCAAACAUAGACUCCCCCUUCCGCCUCCAAGAGCAAUACCAAGACCAAUGGUACUUUUAAAUAUGGAUGAUUGACCAAUUUUGUACCACGUGAUGUCGAGUCCCGCGUGCCUGUUACUCCUCCCACCUCAUACGUAGUGUGAAAGAGUCGACUCUGCGAGAAACAUGUCAAAAAAGAAAGGAAAGUUCCGCGUUUUUUUAGACGAGGAUGACUCAUCGGAUGAUAAUAUAGCGAAUAAGGCUAUAGAGAGAAAGUAUACGAAGACUUUUGUAAUCAUGAGCGGCUCAAUAUGUACACUCGUUUUCAGUGCUCGUGCACCCUCUGUUUUACGUUUCUUAGUCGCAACUGGUUUUUGGUGGACGUCAAUCAAACGAGAACCGGGGGCUGUUCUGUCGCCAGUUCUAGUAGAGUGUUUCAAAAAGCUGUUCAUUUUAAAGUUUUUGUUAUUGAUUAUAAGCUCUCUAUGUUAGAGAAUUGAGCAUGUUCAAAAAUGUUUUUUUUAAAUAUUAUCGGCGAUGGGUGCAUAGCCAGGCAAUAUUUCAAUAUGUAAUGAAAUUUGCCAAUACAGAUAUACACAGAUAUGCUUUCCCAUAAUUGUAGCCUGAGAUGGUUCAGGAGCCAAGACAAAGGGUCCAAAAUGGAAAAGGUGGCGUGUGGAAUGCUAAGUAGUGAGCAAAUCGCAGCAGCCUACCCUAGGCCGAAACAGAAGAUCUAUCUCUGGUUGAAGCCAGAAGGGCAAGAAGGCCAACGAAACACACAGAUCUCUUCAUCACCAUUUAGACAUAGUAAGUUGAAAAGAUACAAAGUUAUCAUAAAUAAUUAUUAACAUUUAUGCCAUCGUUUACGGGUUUACUU
Molecule: long non-coding RNA, 1149 nt
Organism: Nematostella vectensis (starlet sea anemone)
Lineage: Eukaryota; Metazoa; Cnidaria; Anthozoa; Actiniaria; Edwardsiidae
Exons: 5
Source: RefSeq, a predicted model, not a curated record